UAGAAAUGUUCUUUUAAUAAAUGUACUAAAUAAGAUGCAUAAUUUAGCUCCUUCUCUGUAGCCUGCCGGCCAGCUGCCAGCUCUGAACUCCUUCUCGGCCUCUCUCUUUUCCUCCUCCCUUGAUCUCUCACCAUCCCUCCCUUGGGUUUGACUCAGCACGGAAAUUACCUGCUGGCCUGGUAAAAACAAUCUCAUUAAAAAGCCAUCACAGUUGUGCCUGAUGGCUUCAUUUGUCCCCCAGUGGCUCAAUUUAUACCUUCCUUUGGAACAAGCAGAGAGUGAGUACUCUCCAGGAUGGCUUUUUCCAGCUGUACUAUAUGCAUCCCAACAGACCACAGGCCUCAAGUAAAAGUCAACAAGCUGAGAAUCCGAAGACCUUGUUUUAAGAUAGACCGUUGGAAAACUGUUUGCUAUCUGGACAAAUAAGAACUUCUCCAAGGAGACCUUGUCUCUCUGCCUCUACAGAAAGCAGCUGGCAUCUUUAAUACACAGACCACCCAAUUGCAAUGGCAAAACUGUAUGUAGAGAAAAAAUAAAAAACAGUAAACAGUGGUAGUGAAUUAUGUA
Bos indicus x Bos taurus (hybrid cattle) is the source of this 567-nucleotide long non-coding RNA. The record is from Ensembl. NCBI's taxonomy places the organism in Eukaryota, Metazoa, Chordata, Mammalia, Artiodactyla, Bovidae.